This 279-nucleotide ribosomal RNA is filed under the name uncultured Eubacteriales bacterium. RNAcentral's name for it is "uncultured Clostridiales bacterium partial 16S ribosomal RNA". It matches the Rfam family "Bacterial small subunit ribosomal RNA", at positions 68 to 339 of the family's 1533-position model. The record is from RNAcentral. Lineage: Bacteria; Bacillati; Bacillota; Clostridia; Eubacteriales.
UAAGAAAGGCUUCGGCCUGGACGAUUUUAUUCUUAGCGGCGGACGGGUGAGUAACGCGUGGGUAAUCUACCUUGUACAGGGGGAUAACGUAUAGAAAUGUACGCUAAUACCGCAUAAGCGCACAGCUUCGCAUGAAGCAGUGUGAAAAACUCCGGUGGUACAAGAUGGACCCGCGUCUGAUUAGCUGGUUGGUGAGGUAACGGCCUACCAAGGCGACGAUCAGUAGCCGGUCUGAGAGGAUGAACGGCCACACUGGAACUGAGACACGGUCCAAACUCC